This 253-nucleotide ribosomal RNA is filed under the name uncultured bacterium. RNAcentral's name for it is "partial 16S ribosomal RNA". It matches the Rfam family "Bacterial small subunit ribosomal RNA", at positions 524 to 776 of the family's 1533-position model. The record is from RNAcentral.
AACGUAGGGUCCGAGCGUUGUCCGGAAUUAUUGGGCGUAAAGGGCUCGUAGGCGGUUUGUCGCGUCGGGAGUGAAAACGCCGGGCUUAACCCGGUGCUUGCUUUCGAUACGGGCAGACUGGAGGUAUGCAGGGGAGAACGGAAUUCCUGGUGUAGCGGUGAAAUGCGCAGAUAUCAGGAGGAACACCGGUGGCGAAGGCGGUUCUCUGGGCAUGACCUGACGCUGAGGAGCGAAAGUGUGGGGAGCGAACAGG